GAUAAAGAUAAGUUACUAAGGGCGUAUGGCGGAUGCCUAGGCUCUCAGAGGCGAAGAAGGACGUGACAAGCUGCGAUAAGCCAUGGGGAGGCGCAAAUAGCCGGUAUAUCCGUGGAUUUCCGAAUGGGGCAACCCGGCCGCAAGGUCACCGCGCUUAUGGCGCGGGGCAAACCCGCUGAACUGAAACAUCUAAGUAGGCGGAGGAAGAGAAAACAAAAGUGAUUCCCUGAGUAGUGGCGAGCGAAAGGGGAUUAGCCCAAACCGUCGCUGUUUCGGCAGUGGCGGGGUUGUAGGACUGCGACAAGUGAGCAAGCGGGAAAUGGAACCACCUGGAAAGGCGGGCCAGAGCGGGUGAGAGCCCCGUACAUGUAACCGGUUGCAGGCGAGCAGUAUCCUGAGUAGUGCGGGGCACGUGAAACCCUGUGCGAAUCCGGCGGGACCAUCCGCCAAGGCUAAAUACUCCUGAGAGACCGAUAGUGAACUAGUACCGUGAGGGAAAGGUGAAAAGCACCCCGAACAGGGGAGUGAAACAGAACCUGAAACCGUACGCCUACAAGCGGUCGGAGCACCUAUGCGGUGUGACGGCGUGCCUUUUGCAUAAUGAGCCUACGAGUUACUCCUCACUAGCGAGGUUAAGCCUUUAAGGGGCGCAGCCGAAGCGAAAGCGAGUCUGAACAGGGCGUUCAGUUAGUGGGGGUAGACGCGAAACCGUGUGAUCUACCCAUGGCCAGGUUGAAGUUCCGGUAAAACGGAAUGGAGGACCGAACCCGUUGACGUUGAAAAGUCUUGGGAUGAGCUGUGGGUAGGGGUGAAAGGCCAAUCAAACUCGGAAAUAGCUCGUACUCCCCGAAAUGCAUUUAGGUGCAGCCUCGUAACAGUGUCACAGAGGUAAAGCUACUGAUAAGGCUAGGGGGCUUCACCGCCUACCAACCCUUGAUAAACUCUGAAUGCUGUGACAUGGUUUACGGGAGUGAGGGCGCGGGUGCUAAGGUCCGCGCCCGAGAGGGAAAGAACCCAGACCAUCAGCUAAGGUCCCCAAAUAUAUGCUAAGUUGACCAAACGUGGUCCGGCUGCAGUGACAGCUAGGAUGUUGGCUUGGAAGCAGCCAUUCAUUUAAAGAGUGCGUAACAGCUCACUAGUCGAGCGGCUGGGCGUGGAUAAUAAUCGGGCAUAAGCAUAUUACCGAAGCUAUGGUACCGCUUAGGCGGUAGGUAGGGGAGCAUUCCGGCGGCGCAGAAGCUGUGGCUUGAGCCAUGGUGGAGCUUCCGGAAAAGCAAAUGUAGGCAUAAGNNGCACACCGAAAGACUAAGGUUUCCUGAUCAACGCUAAUCGGAUCAGGGUUAGUCGGGGCCUAAGGCGGACCCGCAAGGGGCAGCCGAUGGACAACUGGUCAAUAUUCCAGUACUUCAGAUACUGCGAUGGGGUGACGAAGAUGUGAAAGUACCGCGCACUGACGGAAUAGUGCGUUGAAGGGUGUAGGUGCUGACUGCUGCAGGCAAAUCCGCAGCGGGAGCCGAACCUGAAAGUACCGCGAGCCUCCGGGCGAGCGGAUAGCGUACCUAACCGGGCUUCCGAGAAAACCCCCUAAGCUCCAGGUAUCUGCAACCCGUACCGCAAACCGACACAGGUAGUCGAGGAGAGGAUCCUAAGGUGCUCGAGUGAAUCAUGGCCAAGGAACUAGGCAAAAUAACCCCGUAACUUCGGGAGAAGGGGAUCCCGCAGCAAUGCGGGACGCAGAGAAAUGGCCCAAGCGACUGUUUAUCAAAAACACAAGGCUUUGCGAAAACGAAAGUUGAUGUAUAAGGCCUGACACCUGCCCGGUGCUGGAAGGUUAAGAGGAGAUGUCAUCCGCAAGGAGAAGCAUUGAAUUGAAGCCCCAGUAAACGGCGGCCGUAACUAUAACGGUCCUAAGGUAGCGAAAUUCCUUGUCGGGUAAGUUCCGACCUGCACGAAUGGUGUAACGACUUGGGCACUGUCUCAGCCAUGAGCUCGGUGAAAUUGUAGUAGCGGUGAAGAUGCCGCUUACCCGCAACGGGACGGAAAGACCCCGUGCACCUUUACUAUAGCUUAACAUUGUUCUUGGGUAAGUGAUGUGUAGGAUAGGCCGGAGGCUGUGAAGCGGUGCCGCCAGGUAUCGUGGAGCCGGCGUUGAAAUACGGCCCUUUGCUUAUCUGGGGACUAACCACGCCCGCGUGGGACAGUGUUUGGUGGGUAGUUUGACUGGGGUGGUCGCCUCCAAAAGAGUAACGGAGGNNUGGAAGGGCCAUCGCUCAAAGGAUAAAAGGUACGCCGGGGAUAACAGGCUGAUCGCUCCCAAGAGCUCAUAUCGACGGAGCGGUUUGGCACCUCGAUGUCGGCUCGUCACAUCCUGGGGCUGGAGAAGGUCCCAAGGGUUAGGCUGUUCGCCUAUUAAAGUGGCACGCGAGCUGGGUUCAGAACGUCGUGAGACAGUUCGGUCCCUAUCUGUUGUGGGCGUCGGAAAUUUGAGGGGAGCUGCCGUUAGUACGAGAGGACCGCGGUGGACGAACCUCUAGUGUACCUGUUGUGGCGCCAGCUGCACCGCAGGGUAGCUACGUUCGGAAGGGAUAAGUGCUGAAAGCAUCUAAGCACGAAGCCCACCUCAAGAUGAGAUUUCCUUUAAGGGUCGUUGGAGACUACGACGUUGAUAGGCUGCAGGUGUAAAGGCGGUGACGUCUGAGCCGAGCAGUACUAAUUACCCGUGGGCUUACUUUG
Molecule: ribosomal RNA, 2733 nt
Filed under: Marinilabiliales bacterium
Lineage: Bacteria; Pseudomonadati; Bacteroidota; Bacteroidia; Marinilabiliales
Description: bacterial LSU rRNA
Rfam family: Bacterial large subunit ribosomal RNA
Source: RNAcentral